This 259-nucleotide ribosomal RNA is filed under the name uncultured bacterium. Its description in RNAcentral is "partial 16S ribosomal RNA". It matches the Rfam family "Bacterial small subunit ribosomal RNA", at positions 524 to 777 of the family's 1533-position model. The record is from RNAcentral.
UACAGAGGCCACGAGCGUUAGGCGGAAUCACUGGGCUUAAAGCGUGUGUAGGUGGAUGGCUAAGUACCUUGUGAAAUCCCACGGCUCAACCGUGGAACUGCUCGGUAUACUGGUCGUCUUGAGGCACUCAGGGGCGAGCGGAACAGAUGGUGGAGCGGUGAAAUGCGUAGAUAUCAUCUGGAACGCCAAUGGUGAAGACAGCUCGCUGGGGGGUGUACUGACACUGAGACAGCGAAAAGCCAAGGGGGAGCGAACCGGG